UGCUUUAUUUACUUAUAAUUUUUAUUAAUGGAAUGAAACUCUAUAUGUAAGUAGCUACAAGCAAUAUGCAAGCAGUUCAUAUAAUUAUGCAUACAUAUAAAACUAAUAAGCAGAAAAAACUAAUAAGUAGCCAUAAAUAAUUCCUUUUCUAUAUUUUGUAGGAAAAAGAACAUAUUUAAAAAGCACACUGAACCAGGAAAAAAUAUACCAUAUGGCUUAUAUCAGCAAGUAACUAAAUCACUGUGAUCAGAUUUAAAUUCCCUUAAUUUUAGUUUUGUUUAAUAUAAAAAUUAAGGGCAAUAAUAGAUAACUCUACUCCUUCAGAGAUUGUAAAUUAGAGUAAGAAAAAAUAAUCAUUUUGAUCACUUUAGGAAAACAGCAAGCAGCUAUCACAGUACAAAUAAUAUAUUUUAACUUGAAAAUCAAUGUGUGAUGAGUUGAGCUGACAUGAUGAGAUUAAUACUUCAGGAUAUCUCAGAGCGUCUCAUGAACAUGAUCCAUGUAACAAAAGCUGAUUCAUUCUCACUGUUGGCCAACUUGAGAAAUGUGUCAGUAUCUUAAAUAGUGAAGGAAAGGACCAAAUAUUUUAGAAUAAGAAUCUUCUCAAAAGAAAAAUUCUAGUGUCUGAAUUAUUUAGUUUAGCUUUCAGCAUUGGCCAGAUUUCCUGAAAAGUUUUCUCCCACUACAUUUCUAUUAAUAUAUGUAUCAACAGAUAGGAUUGGCCGCAAGGAAGCACUAAAGGUAGAACAGAGGGUAGAAAGAUGGGGAGAAGUCAUGCUAUUCUUUCCCCCUUUCCCCUGUUUUCCAGAGGCUUUUCUGCAAUAUAUACACUAUCUUGUGGCUCCCUUUGGACCAGUUCAGCUGCACCCUUCAAAAUUCUGCUACCACCAGAUGGAUCAGUGGAUAUGCAAUCGCCAGUGAGAGCUUAAUUGAAAAAAAUUCACUGGAAUCAAAUGAAAAAAUGAUUUCUCCCCUUUCUAAUCGAGCAUGUUCCACUAUUCUUUGUUGUAGCAAUAAUUUUACCUGUCACAAAUUUCAAGAUAAAAAAAGUUUACUGCUUGAAUUCUUACAAGAUAAAGAUAUUCUCUUAUAGUUUUAUCUCAGGAAUUUAUCUUUUUAUCUUUUCCUAAAUUGAGGUGAAGGAAACAAAUACUAUCUUUACUAUCAAAGCAGUGUACUCCUGAAUUUUAAACAUAGUGGUAAAAAAGCAAAAAUUUUUAUCACUCAUGGAGAGUUAAAAUACCUUUCGUGGCCUUUUUAAUUAUAUGAAAACCCUACAAAGGAAAAAGAAAGAUACUGUUAUCAGAUUCUUUAGGAGCUUCCAUUAACAAUGGCUCCAUGAAGUAAGGAGAUAUUAUAAGUAUUGAAAAAGGUUAAUUUUCGAUAGGGUUGAUUAUAACAAUAUUAGAAGUUCAGGAAAAAAAAUCGUUAGAUUAUUUAUGGCUUUUGUCAUGUAUGUGGUACGUUGCAUAUCAAUCUGUAUAAUUACAUUUAAGAGAAAUUUAAUUGUAAUAUCUAUGUCAUUUUAAAGAAGAGGAUUCCUCAUUUAAUUACUAAGAUUCCACAAGCUCUUGAAUAUCGUCUUUUAAUAUAUACAAAGGAAACUCAAUCUGACAGACAUUUUGUCAUGUGAUGAUUUUUCUCUGAAGUUAAGGACUAUUUCAACAGUACAAAUUUUCAUAAUCCCUAUAGGUAUUUCUUCUUCUGUACUUAGGGGAGAUUGGGUGGUCCAUUCAGGCACCAUUCUCUCUCAGAAUGGCAUUCCUUAGAAUAUGAAAAUUGUACACCAAGUCUAUUGAUCAUUAGAUCUUUUCUGUUGACCCUUAAUCUGAAACACAGAAAUACUGGUCAUUAUCAAAGAGGAUCAUCUCAAAUUCAGGGACACUAAAUACUUAUCAGUAGAUUGACAGAAAGAAAUAACUGUUUGUGAAGUGUUUCCUGAUUAUUAUUGUGCAUCAUAUCUCUAGACUUGCACACCCUUUAUGGUAGCCACUAGCCACAUGUGGCUGAUCAGCACUUGAAAUGUAGCAAGUCAAGUUAAAAUGAACUGUAAGUAUCACGUACACACCAGAUUUCAAAAAUAUACCCAAAAGUAUAAAACAUCUCAUCAAUAAUGUUUAUAUUGAUUACAGGUUGAAAUGAUAUUUUGCAUAUAUUACAUUAAAUAAGAUAUAAAAUUAUUUUCACCUAAUUUUUAAAUGUGGCUGCUAUAAAAUUAAAAAUUACCUAUGUUGAUAAUGGUUCCUGUCAUGGCUCAGGAGUAGCAAACCCAACUAAUAUCCAUGAGGACACGGGUUCAAUCCCUGGCGUUGCUUAGUAGGUUAAGGAUCCAUUGUUGCUGUGGCUGUGGCAUAGGCUGGCAGCUAUAGCUCCUAAUGAACCCCUAGCCUGGGAACUUCCGUGUGCCAUGGGGGUGGCCCUAAAAGAAAGAACAGAGUCCUUCAAGUCUCUGGAUAUCUUCUAAAAUCAAAUAACUGUGUAUAUACACAGUGAAUACACAUUCCUGUUAAUCCUGUUCAUGGUUUACAGGUUAAGAAUUCAUGUUCCAGAUAAUUUACAGUCUACUUUUGAAUUAAAUAAGACCAAUGCCAGUCUCUAAUGACUGAUAGCUUCUACAACUCUGUUAAAGCAAGAAUGCUAUAACAAAGUCCCCAGAUUUCAUUGGUUUCCAUUUAUUUGUCCACAGAAGUAGUUUGUAUUCAAUGAUCUUUGAAGCUCCUUUUAUCAGUAAUUUUCUUUGAUAUUUUCUUCUGAAUCCCAGGUGUUUAAUAUAUUCAGUAUUCUUAAAGUAGAAUACAUAAUAGUUGGUACUGUUUGGGAUUCAAGACUAAACAAUUCUCCUAAGUAUUGUUUCUCUGCUGAAUUAUAAUAAUUAUGCAAUCCUCCUCCUAUUUAAGGAGUGUUUGGUUUUAAAUUUUAUUUAUUUUGAAUACUGACACUUGCAAAAUGUCUGUGGAGUUAUCAGACUACUCAGUGUUUAAAAUUAAGGCGUCUGAAGAAAUAAGUGAUAAAAACUUGUGCCUUUUACCAAGAAGUCCCAUUUUAAACAUGAGUCAUAUCAGCAGUGCCCUUCAACCUGUCCUCUAACCUGAAGCCAACUUCCAGUUCCUGAUGAAAGUCGAGCAAACAUGUGUACUUUAACAUAGUCAACAGACAAUAAAAUUGCAUUGCCUUAGUGAUAAAAGAAGAACAGCAACAUUCCCCUGCUUUCAGACCUGAACUGGCAAGACAGAAACACCAGUCUGUGGUUUCACUUGGUGUUCCAGCACAUUGAAAAUUACCUCAUUUGCGUGUUUGAGAAACCAAGUCAUGCUGCUUUUACUGAUAUUAAUUGGCAAAAGAUAUGGUGAAUGGCCUGGGGAAUCAAUAUAGUUUUGCAUCAAUUCUUGUAUAAGUCAUACAGCUGUUACAUAUUGCUUUUCUGCCAGAAAAGAAACCAAAAAUUAGCCUGGGGGGAAGGAAAAAAAAAAGAAAACUAUGUUGUGUAACAGUGUGUUCCCAUGAUGACUUUUGAAAUGUAUUUGUUUCAAUGAGCCUUUGAAACCACAGCAACAUGAUUUUGUCCUUAGAAAUACCAAAGAGAGUGAUCUAAAAAGUUGCAAGAUGUGGUUCCCUCAUCUCUCCUUCCUUCCAACAUCAUAAUAUCCUUAGAUACAGCCUUCUGGUUUGGAAGGGGAAACACUGGAAUAUGUUGACUCUGAAGAACAAUUGUCAUAGCUAGUAGGUCAAAUUGAGACAGGAUGAUAUUUUUCCCUCCUGAGCCUGCCCAUCCUGAAACUAAUCCCCUGUAAUUGAAGUGGAUUAGAGUGGUAAGAAGAGCAGUGUAUGAAAAUGGCAAACAGUUUAUAUAUCAUGCCUUUUAAAAAUAUUUGGGUAUUCUUUAUUCCAACUAAUUCUAUCCCAAUACUAAGAUUUCAGAAUUUAUAAAAGGGAUAUUCUUUUUUCCAUUCUGGAGAGUUGGCAAUAUAAAGAACUCUAGUUUUUAUUGGCAUUGAUUCAUAGCUGUCUAGAUGAUACCAAAAAAGCAAGCUUUAAAUAAUAUAUCUGAUUUACAAUCAAAUUGAUAAUUGUCAGCAGCAAAAGUUGAAUGUUAAAACAUUUUAAAUUUAAUACGGGGAAUCUGUAAUGUCAUCGUGCAGAUGAUUACAUUUUUAUUGAGGUCAAAGAUUGUUGUUUAAAAAUUGUCUUGAAACUUGUAUUCAAUUAUGUUGAAAUAGGAGAUUAUUGACAUAAAAAUAAACAAACUUGGUCUAAAAUCUCCAUGCACAUAAGGUCUUAUGUAACUAACUAGAAAAGCAAAACAGGAGUUCCCGUGGUGGCGCAGUGGUUAAUGAAUCUGACUAGGAACCAUGAGGUUGCGGGUUCGGUCCCUGCCCUUGCUCAGUGGGUUAACGAUCCGGCGUUGCUGUGAGCUGUGGUGUAGUGUAGGUUGCAGACGCGGCUCGGAUCCCGCGUUGCUGUGGCUCUGGCGUAGGCCGGUGGCUACAGCUCUGGCUACAGCUCCGAUUCAAAGCAUUUUGUGUGUUGAGUAGGGUAGAGUUUUGACUAGAGACAGCUCAAAAAGUGUAGGCUGAAGUAAAAAAUAGUGUAAGAAUGAACCACUUUUUCUAGAAAUUUGUCAGGGAAUAAAGAAAUUGUUUGGCAAGUAGGUAGGACUAAUGACAUCACUGUGAUUGUGAAAGGGUGAAAAUAGACAUAUUCGAAAGUGCUUUGUAGUGAUGUUUAUUUAAUAGCAAAUGAAAUAGUGUUCUUGGAGUUUCUGCAGUAGCACAGCAGGUUAAGGAUCUGGUGCUGUCUCUGCAGUAGGUCGGAUCACUGUGGAGGCAUGGGUUUGAUCUAGCAUUGAAGCAGCUGUGGCUUGUUUUGAUUCCUGGCCCAGGAACUUCCAUACGCUGCAGAAAUGUGCCUCCCCCAGUGGUGUUCUUUAUCAAUUGAUUCUUGAAACCCAUAUAGUAAAGUGAAAAAGUAGACCUGCAGAAGUUGUUUACUCAAAAAUUUCAUAUGAAGUUUUUAUAAUUUUGAUUAGGUACUAUUGAUUUUACUUUGUUUCUAUAUUCUAACAUUUAAACUUAAUUUUGGGAGUUCCCGUUGUGGCUCAGUGGUUAAUAACGAAUCCGACUAGGAAGCAUGAGGUUGCAGGUUCAAGCCCUGGCCUUCCUCAGUGGGUUAAGGAUCUGGCGUUGCCGUGAGCUGUGGUGUAGGUCGCAGAUGCAGCUCGGAUCCCGCGUUGCUGUGGCUCUGGCGUAGGCCGGUGGCUACAUCUCCAAUUAGACCCCUAGCCUGGGAACCUCCAUAUGCUGUGGGAGCGGCCCAAGAAAUAGCAACAACAACAACAAAAAAGAG
This 5343-nucleotide long non-coding RNA is filed under the name Sus scrofa (pig). RNAcentral describes it as "lncRNA (ENSSSCG00000056233.1)". The record is from RNAcentral. Lineage: Eukaryota; Metazoa; Chordata; Mammalia; Artiodactyla; Suidae.